CUGCUACGAAGAAAACCACAAUGCACUGCGCAGCAAUGGGUAACCCCCAAGUAUAGAAUUCCCAAGCGUCUGAGGUUAAGAGCCAGGUUGCCAUAAAAGACUCCACUGAUUAUUACAGCGUAAAAUUUACAGUGUAAAAUUAUAGUAGGCUACUAGCGUAAGUCUGAUUAUUAUAACAUAGUUUAGAUUAUUAUGAUAUAAA
Molecule: long non-coding RNA, 202 nt
Organism: Frieseomelitta varia
Lineage: Eukaryota; Metazoa; Arthropoda; Insecta; Hymenoptera; Apidae
Exons: 2
Source: RefSeq, a predicted model, not a curated record